Small nuclear RNA from Sorex fumeus (smoky shrew), 105 nucleotides. The record is from RefSeq and is a predicted model, not a curated record. Lineage: Eukaryota; Metazoa; Chordata; Mammalia; Eulipotyphla; Soricidae.
GUGCUCGCUUGUGCAGCACAUGCUAUUAAAACUGGAACAAUACAGAGAUUAGCAUGGCCGCUGCACAGGGAAGACACACAAAUUCGUGAAACGUUCCAUAUUUUU